RNAcentral lists this ribosomal RNA (469 nucleotides) under uncultured bacterium. RNAcentral's name for it is "partial 16S ribosomal RNA". It matches the Rfam family "Bacterial small subunit ribosomal RNA", at positions 28 to 507 of the family's 1533-position model. The record is from RNAcentral.
GACGAACGCUGGCGGCGUGCUUAACACAUGCAAGUCGAACGGAAAGGCCCUGCUUGCAGGGUGCUCGAGUGGCGAACGGGUGAGUAACACGUGGGUGAUCUGCCCCUUACUUUGGGAUAAGCCUGGGAAACUGGGUCUAAUACUGGAUAGGACCAUGCUGUAGGUGGUGUGGUGGAAAGAUUAGUUUCGGUAAGGGAUGAGCUCGCGGCCUAUCAGCUUGUUGGUGGGGUAAUGGCCUACCAAGGCGUCGACGGGUAGCCGGCCUGAGAGGGUGGACGGCAACAUUGGGACUGAGAUACGGCCCAGACUCCUACGGGAGGCAGCAGUGGGGAAUAUUGUACAAUGGGCGCAAGCCUGAUGCAGCGACGCCGCGUGGGGGAUGACGGCCUUCGGGUUGUAAACUCCUUUAGGCCAUGACGAAGCCCUUGUGGUGACGUUAGUGGUAGAAGAAGCACCGGCUAACUACGUG